Pezoporus flaviventris is the source of this 371-nucleotide long non-coding RNA. RefSeq lists it as uncharacterized. The record is from RefSeq and is a predicted model, not a curated record. The transcript has 3 exons. NCBI's taxonomy places the organism in Eukaryota, Metazoa, Chordata, Aves, Psittaciformes, Psittacidae.
CUCCGCCAUGGGGUGAGACCCCUGCCCAGCCACCUACCAUCAGGGUGACCCCGGAGCCGCCCAGGGAUCGAGCCAGCAGCCGGGUGAGAGGCACUGAGAGCCAGGUCAGAGCCACGGCUCCGGCUCUGCUCCAGGAGGCAGGCGAAGGACCUCUGCAUCAGCCCCAGCAGGGCCGGGGAUGCUGCGUGGGUCUCACCCUGUGGAGAUGCCAGAAUGGAGCCUCCUGCGAGUCGCCGGCGUCAAACACGGCGCUGAACCCGAAGGUGGCGUCUUGCCGGGCUGCACUCACCUGGGCACGGGGACAGCGGGGGGCUCAGGGGGGGCCGCAGCCCUCCCACGGCCGGUCCCCCGCAGGGAGGUGGCACUUACAU